UUAACCCUGCUGUGUACGUGAUGGGUUUCUAGCGUUGAGCCAACGCUUUACAAAUGGGAACGUGAAUACGCUGAGGGGAUGUAGUAGCCGGAAGGCAAGGCAGUAUCCAUGCGAAAAUGUUCCCACCUGCAUCAGCAGGUUCAAAUGUCUGAUCUCACACGGCAUCGCGGGGUUUUC
Molecule: non-coding RNA, 177 nt
Filed under: Anaerolineales bacterium
Lineage: Bacteria; Bacillati; Chloroflexota; Anaerolineae; Anaerolineales
Description: 6S RNA
Rfam family: 6S / SsrS RNA
About the family: E. coli 6S RNA was the first non coding RNA to be sequenced, but its function was unknown until recently.
Source: RNAcentral